RNAcentral lists this transfer RNA (74 nucleotides) under Ariosoma shiroanago (shiro-anago). RNAcentral describes it as "tRNA-Leu (CUN)". It matches the Rfam family "tRNA". From Rfam's summary of the family: Transfer RNA (tRNA) molecules are approximately 80 nucleotides in length. Their secondary structure includes four short double-helical elements and three loops (D, anti-codon, and T loops). Further hydrogen bonds mediate the characteristic L-shaped molecular structure. tRNAs have two regions of fundamental functional importance: the anti-codon, which is responsible for specific mRNA codon recognition, and the 3' end, to which the tRNAs corresponding amino acid is attached (by aminoacyl-tRNA synthetases). tRNAs cope with the degeneracy of the genetic code in two manners: having more than one tRNA (with a specific anti-codon) for a particular amino acid; and 'wobble' base-pairing, i.e. permitting non-standard base-pairing at the 3rd anti-codon position. Lineage: Eukaryota; Metazoa; Chordata; Actinopteri; Anguilliformes; Congridae. The record is from RNAcentral.
GCCCCUAGAGGAUAACAGUUCCAUCCGUUGGUCUUAGGAACCAAAAACUCUUGGUGCAAAUCCAAGUAGAGGCU